AGAGCUCGUAGGUGGUUUGUCGCGUUGUUCGUGAAAUCUCACGGCUUAACUGUGAGCGUGCGGGCGAUACGGGCAGACUUGAGUACUGCAGGGGAGACUGGAAUUCCUGGUGUAGCGGUGGAAUGCGCAGAUAUCAGGAGGAACACCGGUGGCGAAGGCGGGUCUCUGGGCAGUAACUGACGCUGAGGAGCGAAAGCGUGGGGAGCGAACAGGAUUAGAUACCCUGGUAGUCCACGCCGUAAACGGUGGGUACUAGGUGUGGGUUUCCUUCCUUGGGAUCCGUGCCGUAGCUAACGCAUUAAGUACCCCGCCUGGGGAGUACGGCCGCAAGGCUAAAACUCAAAGAAAUUGACGGGGGCCCGCACAAGCGGCGGAGCAUGUGGAUUAAUUCGAUGCAACGCGAAGAACCUUACCUGGGUUUGACAUGCACAGGACGCCGGCAGAGAUGUCGGUUCCCUUGUGGCCUGUGUGCAGGUGGUGCAUGGCUGUCGUCAGCUCGUGUCGUGAGAUGUUGGGUUAAGUCCCGCAACGAGCGCAACCCUUGUCUCAUGUUGCCAGCGGGUAAUGCCGGGGACUCGUGAGAGACUGCCGGGGUCAACUCGGAGGAAGGUGGGGAUGACGUCAAGUCAUCAUGCCCCUUAUGUCCAGGGCUUCACACAUGCUACAAUGGCCGGUACAAAGGGCUGCGAUGCCGCGAGGUUAAGCGAAUCCUUUUAAAGCCGGUCUCAGUUCGGAUCGGGGUCUGCAACUCGACCCCGUGAAGUCGGAGUCGCUAGUAAUCGCAGA
RNAcentral lists this ribosomal RNA (786 nucleotides) under uncultured Mycobacterium sp. Its description in RNAcentral is "bacterial SSU rRNA". It matches the Rfam family "Bacterial small subunit ribosomal RNA", at positions 564 to 1348 of the family's 1533-position model. Lineage: Bacteria; Bacillati; Actinomycetota; Actinomycetes; Mycobacteriales; Mycobacteriaceae. The record is from RNAcentral.